RNAcentral lists this ribosomal RNA (465 nucleotides) under uncultured bacterium. RNAcentral describes it as "partial 16S ribosomal RNA". It matches the Rfam family "Bacterial small subunit ribosomal RNA", at positions 28 to 507 of the family's 1533-position model. The record is from RNAcentral.
GACGAACGCUGGCGGCGUGCUUAACACAUGCAAGUCGAACGGAAAGGCCCCUUUGGGGGUACUCGAGUGGCGAACGGGUGAGUAACACGUGAGUAACCUGCCCUUGACUUCGGGAUAACUUCAGGAAACUGGGGCUAAUACCGGAUAGGAAUCCUUGCUGCAUGGUGGGGGUUGGAAAGCUUCGGCGGUUUUGGAUGGACUCGCGGCUUAUCAGCUUGUUGGUGGGGUAGUGGCUUACCAAGGCUUUGACGGGUAGCCGGCCUGAGAGGGCGACCGGCCACAUUGGGACUGAGAUACGGCCCAGACUCCUACGGGAGGCAGCAGUGGGGAAUAUUGCACAAUGGGCGGAAGCCUGAUGCAGCAACACCGCGUGCGGGAUGACGGCCUUCGGGUUGUAAACCGCUUUCAGCAGGGGCGAAGCUUGUGGUGACGGUACCUGCAGAAGAAGCACCGGCUAACUACGUG